AAAAUUUUAAUUUUCAUUCUUUCCCUCCAUUAGUUCGACAAAAUUUUACUUUGAUGUCGACUAACCCUAGAAACACAACACACUCUCUCUCUUUCUCGGCCGCGGCCGCACGCCCAAUUCUUUGUUAUCUCUCCCUUCCAUUUCUCCCUGCCAUCGCUGGAGACCACCAUUUCUGGCCAUCAAUUCACGACACCGCCACCACCAAUCGAACCAGCACCUCAAUACGAUCAAAACCCAAGCCCAGAUGUUGCUGCACGCGACCCUCCAAUCCACGAUGCUGAUGCUCCCUUACCUUCGUCGAUUUUUGGCCGCCAUCUCGCAACACCUCCACCACUGCUUUGAUUCAUCUUCAAUUCUUCAAUCGCCUCAAACUCAAGUAGCAAAGCAGAUGUCCUCAAAGCUCAAGCAGAUUUCUGGAUUCGAUACUUCGAUUCCAGUUUUUGAUUUCAGAUUCUUCAAGCUGGGUUCGAUUUCGAAUUUCUGGGUAACUUGCUUGGUUCGGCUUUCUUCGCUUGGUUCGGAUUGCAUGAUUUGCAUCCCAUAGGACCAUUAUUUUAACAAUUUAAUUUGUCUCAUUUGGUAUUUCUUGUUAAUUGAAUCACUACUUCCUAAAACAAAGGAAUGCAUACAAUUAUCCCUGUUCUCUGUUCUCUCUUUGUCCGACACGGCCGCAUUGGUAAGUCUGGGUUUCUGUUUUGAUUCAAUCAAUCAUUCAAGUAUCUUGGUUUCUGAGUAUUCAGUUUUCUGUCUUCAAGUCUUCAGAUUUCUGGGUCUUUGGUUGUUUGAGUUGAAAACAUUGGUGUUUGGUGAUUGGGUUUUCAGGGAUUUAGUUUGUGAUUGUUGAUUAGAUUGAUAGUUGGUAUAAUUUAAAUAGUUUGACUAUGAUUUUGAAAUGGGUUGGCAUAUUUUAAUGGUAUGUACCGAUAGCAGGGUCUUAGUUUUUGUUACUCUCUCUCUCACUCUCAGAGAUAUACUGAUUUGAUAAUGAGGUUUUUGUACUGGUGUUAAUCUCACUGCCACCCCCUUAUCAUAUCCAUCACAAUCUCUCUCUGUUUUGAGUAUGCGUGAGAAAGUGUGCAAGUAGUCCUCUGUCUGUGAAGAAAUUGAAAGAGUGGGAAUAGAAAGUAGUUUCUGUGGGAGAAGAAGAGCCUCUGCUUGAAUGACACAUAGUUGGACUUUGCGGUUUCUGCGAUUAUUGGGAACAUUUUCUCUGCGAUCUUCACCUUCUUCUUUGCUUUGGGUUGGAGGCUAUGAGAAUGGAAAUUUUGUCAUCUGGUCCAAUCUUUUCAUACGUGAUAUUAUUUACCACUGCAAUCUGAUUCUCAAGUAUUCAGAAGGAACUAACAGGACCUGGGUUCGUUUACUCUUUACAUAGUCACCAUAAUUUUACUUUACUUGUAAUUUUUAUUUAUGUUAAAGUAGCCUCUGAUUGCUAACUAGUCUAGUCCAUUCCUGUAUUGCAGUAUAAUGCGCAGUUUAAAGUUUUUUGAACCA
Long non-coding RNA from Rosa rugosa (rugosa rose), 1494 nucleotides. RefSeq lists it as uncharacterized. The record is from RefSeq and is a predicted model, not a curated record. The transcript is spliced from 4 exons. Lineage: Eukaryota; Viridiplantae; Streptophyta; Magnoliopsida; Rosales; Rosaceae.